Molecule: small RNA, 225 nt
Filed under: Arabidopsis thaliana (thale cress)
Lineage: Eukaryota; Viridiplantae; Streptophyta; Magnoliopsida; Brassicales; Brassicaceae
Description: ATSL257640
Source: RNAcentral
AAAAAAAUAAACAACAAUGCCAUGAAAUAUUCCGAGAAUUACACUAGCUAAUGAAUGGAUGAAAGGAUAGAUCAUACUUACGUUUGAUUCUUGAUUUUGACUUUGAUUUUUGUCAGUUUGGGUGGAUGCCAUAAUUGAGAGAAUAGGGUUUCAUUGAUUAGGGUUUUCUGAUAAGAAUAAGUAUAGGGUUUGGGUGGAAGAUAUAAUUAUUUUAAUUAAUUAAUU